This is a small nucleolar RNA of Octodon degus (degu), 125 nucleotides long. Lineage: Eukaryota; Metazoa; Chordata; Mammalia; Rodentia; Octodontidae. The record is from Ensembl.
AAUUAACUAUCUAUUACAUAAGUCAAAUAUAUUUUUAACAAUUUGAGCUUGCUACAGCAAGAAAGUCUAACCUAUUCCAGCAUUCUCCCCACUGUGAGAUAGGCUGUUAUAUAGACUGAAACAGU